GUGAUUCUCCUCUCUAGAUGUUGGACAGGUGUUUCUCCUCUCUAGAUGUUGGACAGGUGAUUCUCCUCUCUAGAUGUUGGACAGGUGUUUCUCCUCUCUAGAUGUUGGACAGGUGUUUCUCUUCUCUAGAUGUUGGACAGGUGUUUCUCCUCUCUAGAUGUUGGACAUGUGAUUCUCCUCUCUAGAUGUUGGACAGGUGUUUCUCCUCUCUAGAUGUUGGACAGGUGAUUCUCCUCUCUAGAUGUUGGACAGGUGAAUCUCCUCUAUAGAUGUUGGACAGGUGAUUCUCCACUCUAGAUGUUGGACAGGUGGUUCUCCGCUCUAGAUGUUGGACAGGUGGUUCUCCUCUCUAGAUGUUGGACAGGUGAUUCUCCUCUCUAGAUGUUGGACAGGUGAUUCUCGUCUCUAGAUGUUGGACAGGUGGUUCUCCUCUCUAGAUGUUGGACAGGUAAUUCUCCUCUCUAGAUGUUGGACAGGUGAUUCUCGUCUCUAGAUGUUGGACAGGUGAUUCUCCUCUAGAUGUUGGACAGGUGAUUCUCCUCUCUAGAUGUUGGACAGGUGUUUCUCCUCUCUAGAUGUUGGACAGGUGAUUCUCCUCUCUAGAUGUUGGACAGGUGAUUCUCCUCUCUCUAGAUGUUGGACAGGUGUUUCUCCUCUCUAGAUGUUGGACAGUGAAUCUCCUCUCUAGAUGUUGGACAGGUGUUUCUCCUCUCUAGAUGUUGGACAGGUGUUUCUCCUCUCUAGAUGUUGGACAGGUGAUUCUCCUCUCUAGAUGUUGGACAGCUGAUUCUC
This 792-nucleotide long non-coding RNA is filed under the name Salmo salar (Atlantic salmon). RNAcentral's name for it is "lncRNA (ENSSSAG00000101027.1)". Lineage: Eukaryota; Metazoa; Chordata; Actinopteri; Salmoniformes; Salmonidae. The record is from RNAcentral.